UAGGGGAGCGUUCUGUAAGCCGAUGAAGGUGUGUUGAGAAGCAUGCUGGAGGUAUCAGAAGUGCGAAUGCUGACGUGAGUAACGACAAAACGGGUGAAAAACCCGUUCGCCGAAAGACCAAGGGUUCCAGUCCAACGUUAAUCGGGGCUGGGUGAGUCGACCCCUAAGGCGAGGCCGAAAGGCGUAGUCGAUGGGAAAAUGGUUAAUAUUCCAUUACUUCUGUGUAAUGCGAUGAGAGGACGGAGAAGGCUAAAUCAGCCUGGCGUUGGUUGUCCAGGUGAAAGGAUGUAGGCAUGUAUCUUAGGCAAAUCCGGGGUACUCUAUGCUGAGAUCUGAUAGCAAGCUGUACUUGUACAGCGAAGUGGUUGAUGCCAUGCUUCCAGGAAAAGUCUCUAAGCUUCAGUUACACAGGAAUCGUACCCGAAACCGACACAGGUGGUCAGGUCGAGUAGACCAAGGCGCUUGAGAGAACUCUGCUGAAGGAACUAGGCAAAAUGGUACCGUAACUUCGGGAGAAGGUACGCUGUUGUUGGUGAUGGAACUCGCUUCCUGAGCUGACGACAGCCGCAGAAACCAGGCCGCUGCAACUGUUUAUUAAAAACAUAGCACUCUGCAAACACGAAAGUGGACGUAUAGGGUGUGAUGCCUGCCCGGUGCUGGAAGGUUAAUUGAUGGGGUUAGCGUAAGCGAAGCUCUUGAUCGAAGCCCCAGUAAACGGCGGCCGUAACUAUAACGGUCCUAAGGUAGCGAAAUUCCUUGUCGGGUAAGUUCCGACCUGCACGAAUGGCAUAAUGAUGGCGGCGCUGUCUCCAGCAGAGGCUCAGUGAAAUCGAAAUCGCUGUGAAGAUGCAGUGUACCCGCGGCUAGACGGAAAGACCCCGUGAACCUUUACUGCAGCUUGACACUGAACUUUGACCUUACUUGUGUAGGAUAGGUGGGAGGCUUUGAAGCUGGAACGCUAGUUCCAGUGGAGCCGUCCUUGAAAUACCACCCUGGUAAUGUUGAGGUUCUAACUCUGUCCCGUGAUCCGGGACGAGGACCGUGUCUGGUGGGUAGUUUGACUGGGGCGGUCUCCUCCUAAAGAGUAACGGAGGAGUACGAAGGUGCGCUCAGCGUGGUCGGAAAUCACGCGUAGAGUAUAAAGGCAAAAGCGCGCUUAACUGCGAGACCCACAAGUCGAGCAGGUACGAAAGUAGGUCUUAGUGAUCCGGUGGUUCUGUAUGGAAGGGCCAUCGCUCAACGGAUAAAAGGUACUCUGGGGAUAACAGGCUGAUACCGCCCAAGAGUUCAUAUCGACGGCGGUGUUUGGCACCUCGAUGUCGGCUCAUCUCAUCCUGGGGCUGAAGCAGGUCCCAAGGGUAUGGCUGUUCGCCAUUUAAAGAGGUACGCGAGCUGGGUUUAGAACGUCGUGAGACAGUUCGGUCCCUAUCUACCGUGGGCGCUGGAAAUUUGAGAGGAUCUGCUCCUAGUACGAGAGGACCAGAGUGGACGAACCUCUGGUGUACCGGUUGUGACGCCAGUCGCAUCGCCGGGUAGCUAUGUUCGGAAGGGAUAACCGCUGAAAGCAUCUAAGCGGGAAGCCUACCUCAAGAUAAGAUUUCCCUAGGACUUUAUGUCCUCUAAAGAGCCGUUCGAGACUAGGACGUUGAUAGGUUGGAUGUGGAAGCAUAGUGAUAUGUGAAGCUGACCAAUACUAAUUGCUCGUGAGGCUUGACUA
This 1717-nucleotide ribosomal RNA is filed under the name Acinetobacter baumannii 45002_8. RNAcentral's name for it is "bacterial LSU rRNA". It matches the Rfam family "Bacterial large subunit ribosomal RNA", at positions 1229 to 2925 of the family's 2925-position model. The record is from RNAcentral. Lineage: Bacteria; Pseudomonadati; Pseudomonadota; Gammaproteobacteria; Moraxellales; Moraxellaceae.